AACGCACAUUGCGCCCGCCAGUAUUCUGGCGGGCAUGCCUGUUCGAGCGUCAUUUCAACCAUCAAGCCCCCGGCUUGUGUUGGGGACCUGCGGCUGCCGCAGGCCCUGAAAACCAGUGGCGGGCUCGCUAGUCACUCCGAGCGUAGUAAUACAUCUCGCUCAGGGCGUGCUGCGGGUUCCGGCCGUUAAAAAGCCAUAUUUACCCAAGGUUGACCUCGGGUCAGGUAGGAAGACCCGCUGAACUUAA
This 247-nucleotide unclassified non-coding RNA is filed under the name uncultured fungus. RNAcentral's name for it is "partial contains 5.8S rRNA and ITS2". The stretch from base 1 to 52 matches the Rfam family "5.8S ribosomal RNA", at positions 103 to 154 of the family's 154-position model. The record is from RNAcentral. Lineage: Eukaryota; Fungi.